Molecule: non-coding RNA, 45 nt
Filed under: Echinostoma caproni
Lineage: Eukaryota; Metazoa; Platyhelminthes; Trematoda; Plagiorchiida; Echinostomatidae
Source: RNAcentral
ACACUGCUGAAGAGACCAAACCAAGUCGAAACAGCUGUCCGGUGC